Salvia splendens (bonfire salvia) is the source of this 227-nucleotide long non-coding RNA. RefSeq lists it as uncharacterized. The transcript is spliced from 3 exons. NCBI's taxonomy places the organism in Eukaryota, Viridiplantae, Streptophyta, Magnoliopsida, Lamiales, Lamiaceae. The record is from RefSeq and is a predicted model, not a curated record.
GAACCUGGAUAAAGCAUUGGAGAUGUUCAACAUGGCUCAGGGCUUGGGUGGGGCACUGGAUGAGAAGAUAUGCACUAAUAUGAUUUGCCACUAUGGAAAAGCUGGCAAAGUUCACGAAGCAUUAGCCUUAUUCCGCAAAAUGCAGGAGGAAGGAAUAAAACCCGGGAAGGUGAGCUACAACGUCAUGAUUAACGCAUGUGCUGCUGCUGGACUAUACCAAGAAGCAG